AUGCAUGAGUUAACUAAGGAAAACAUUGAGCGUAUGAAUGCUAAAUAUAAACUUGCUGGAGAUAAGGGUAGAAAACAUGUUGUGUUUGCACCUGGAGAUCUUGUUUGGUUACAUUUGCGUAAGGAUAGAUUUCCUGAUUUGCGCAAAUCAAAGUUAAUGCCACGUGCUGAUGGUCCCUUUAAGGUGUUAGAGAAAAUAAAUGAUAAUGCAUAUAAACUUGAGCUGCCUGCAGAUUUUGGAGUUAGUCCCACUUUUAACAUUGCAGAUUUGAAGCCUUAUUUGGGUGAGGAAGAUGAACUUCCGUCGAGGACGACUUCAUUUCAAGAAGGGGAGGAUGAUGAGGACAUCAAUACAAUUGUUACACCCACAACCCCUGCUGCUAUACAUACUGGACCAAUUACUAGAGCUCGUGCACGCCAACUAAAUUACCAGGAAACAGACCUUCGUGGUCAGGUUGAUCGUGCUCCGGCGUGGUCAAUAACCUCUCGGAGUUGGUUUAGCGAUUGCUAA
Molecule: ribosomal RNA, 510 nt
Filed under: Triticum aestivum (bread wheat)
Lineage: Eukaryota; Viridiplantae; Streptophyta; Magnoliopsida; Poales; Poaceae
Description: partial small subunit ribosomal RNA
Source: RNAcentral